This is a long non-coding RNA of Dicentrarchus labrax (European seabass), 210 nucleotides long. RefSeq lists it as uncharacterized. The transcript has 3 exons. Lineage: Eukaryota; Metazoa; Chordata; Actinopteri; Moronidae. The record is from RefSeq and is a predicted model, not a curated record.
CAGAGAAGGACUGUACAUGCAGGAAACAGACCUGCAGCUGCAGCUUUCUCAGCAAAGACGUCCUGAUAAACUCACUGCACGCUCGCUGCUCAGCACCAAACAGCAGACAGGCAACGUUAGCAACUGGGAAUCCAGAGUGGAACAUUUAACAGCAGAGCAGCAUCCUUGUUGGAAAGAGCACCAGCACUCAUUCACAGGGAGAGAAAUGAG